Molecule: small RNA, 286 nt
Filed under: bovine gut metagenome
Description: 5' ureB small RNA
Rfam family: 5' ureB small RNA
Source: RNAcentral
CCUGCUGCGGGCAGAUAUAGUGAACGUGUGUGUCUAUACCGCCUGCGGUCACGAUCAUGCCCUCGCCGGCGAUGACUUCCGUGCCUGCGCCUACUACAAGAUCAGGGGAUAUGCCGUCCAUAAUGUCGGGAUUGCCUGCUUUACCUAUACCUGCGAUCUUUCCGUCCUUUAUUCCGAUAUCCGCCUUUACAACGCCCCAGUAAUCGAGUAUCAGCGCAUUUGUGAUAAGGGUAUCGAGGGCUCCGCCCGCAUUGGUGAUAUCGGAUUUCUGUCCCAUGCCGUCACG